Molecule: ribosomal RNA, 497 nt
Filed under: uncultured bacterium
Lineage: Bacteria
Description: partial 16S ribosomal RNA
Rfam family: Bacterial small subunit ribosomal RNA
Source: RNAcentral
GAUGAACGCUGGCGGCGUGCCUAAUACAUGCAAGUCGAGCGAACAGACGAGGAGCUUGCUCCUCUGACGUUAGCGGCGGACGGGUGAGUAACACGUGGAUAACCUACCUAUAAGACUGGGAUAACUUCGGGAAACCGGAGCUAAUACCGGAUAAUAUAUUGAACCGCAUGGUUCAAUAGUGAAAGACGGUUUUGCUGUCACUUAUAGAUGGAUCCGCGCCGCAUUAGCUAGUUGGUAAGGUAACGGCUUACCAAGGCAACGAUGCGUAGCCGACCUGAGAGGGUGAUCGGCCACACUGGAACUGAGACACGGUCCAGACUCCUACGGGAGGCAGCAGUAGGGAAUCUUCCGCAAAGGGCGAAAGCCUGACGGAGCAACGCCGCGUGAGUGAUGAAGGACUUCGGAUCGUAAAACUCUGUUAUUAGGGAAGAACAAAUGUGUAAGUAACUAUGCACGUCUUGACGGUACCUAAUCAGAAAGCCACGGCUAACUACGUG